Molecule: ribosomal RNA, 320 nt
Filed under: uncultured eukaryote
Lineage: Eukaryota
Description: partial 18S ribosomal RNA
Rfam family: Eukaryotic small subunit ribosomal RNA
Source: RNAcentral
CCCUUAGAUGUCCGGGGCCGCACGCGCGCUACACUGAAGGAAUCAGCGUGGCUUUCUCCCUGACCCGAAAGGGUUGGGAAACCCGUUGAAUCUCCUUCGUGAUAGGGAUUGGGGCUUGAAAUUAUUCUCCAUGAACGAGGAAUUCCUAGUAAACGCGAGUCAUCAGCUCGCAUUGAUUACGUCCCUGCCCUUUGUACACACCGCCCGUCGCACCUACCGAUUGAAUGGUCCGGUGAAAUCUUCGGACCGCGCAACGCCGCAAGGUGAUGCGUGGAAAGUUGCUUAAACCUUACCAUUUAGAGGAAGGUGAAGUCGUAACA